GCCCUAUCAUGGCACUAGCAACAUCUAUUAUAAACAUAGCGUGCAAGCAGACUACGACCCAUGGAUGUAAUAGUAUUAAGGCAUAUGCAAAUUUACCUUUCUAAGGAAAGUCAUAUACAUGUUUUAAUGGUAAUCAUCAUCUUCGCUUCAUUUCUUC
Molecule: long non-coding RNA, 157 nt
Organism: Triticum dicoccoides
Lineage: Eukaryota; Viridiplantae; Streptophyta; Magnoliopsida; Poales; Poaceae
Exons: 3
Source: RefSeq, a predicted model, not a curated record